Molecule: ribosomal RNA, 253 nt
Filed under: uncultured bacterium
Lineage: Bacteria
Description: partial 16S ribosomal RNA
Rfam family: Bacterial small subunit ribosomal RNA
Source: RNAcentral
UACAGAGGAUGCAAACGUUGUUCGGAAUUACUGGGCGUAAAGCGCGUGUAGGCGGUGCGGUAAGUCGGGUGUGAAAGCCCUGGGCUCAACCCAGGAAGUGCAUUCGAUACUACCGUACUAGAGUCCCGGAGAGGUUGGUGGAACUCUCGGUGUAGAGGUGAAAUUCGUAGAUAUCGAGAAGAACACCGGUGGCGAAGGCGGCCAACUGGACGGUGACUGACGCUGAGACGCGAAAGCGUGGGGAGCGAACAGG